This is a non-coding RNA of Anopheles gambiae str. PEST, 177 nucleotides long. It matches the Rfam family "drz-agam-2-2 ribozyme". The record is from Rfam. Lineage: Eukaryota; Metazoa; Arthropoda; Insecta; Diptera; Culicidae.
UUCAGUGACUUUUUGUUACCGUAGCAGGAUAGUAUGGGGGCACGGUCUAUUCGGGGCUUGAACCCAUGACGGGCAUGUCGUACAGAACGGUAACAUAUCUCUCCAAUAAUCUCAAUUUGGGUAGACGAGGAAACCCAACCCCUUAUGAGGAUGGGUUAUAUGGCUAAAUUGAGCGAG